AACGCUAGCUACAGGCUUAACACAUGCAAGUCGAGGGGCAGCAUCAUCAAAGCUUGCUUUGAUGGAUGGCGACCGGCGCACGGGUGAGUAACGCGUAUCCAACCUGCCCACCACUUGGGGAUAACCUUGCGAAAGUAAGACUAAUACCCAAUGAUAUCUCUAGAAGACAUCUGAAAGAGAUUAAAGAUUUAUCGGUGAUGGAUGGGGGUGCGUCUGAUUAGCUUGUUGCGGGGUAACGGCCCACCAAGGCAACGAUCAGUAGGGGUUCUGAGAGGAAGGUCCCCCACAUUGGAACUGAGACACGGUCCAAACUCCUACGGGAGGCAGCAGUGAGGAAUAUUGGUCAAUGGACGAGAGUCUGAACCAGCCAAGUAGCGUGCAGGAAGACGGCCCUAUGGGUUGUAAACUGCUUUUAUAAGGGAAUAAAGUGAGUCUCGUGAGACUUUUUGCAUGUACCUAAUGAAUAAGGACCGGCUAAUUCCGUGCCAGCAGCCGCGGUAAUACGGAAGGUCCGGGCGUUAUCCGGAUUUAUUGGGUUUAAAGGGAGCGUAGGCCGGAGAUUAAGCGUGUUGUGAAAUGUAGACGCUCAACGUCUGCACUGCAGCGCGAACUGGUUUCCUUGAGUACGCACAAAGUGGGCGGAAUUCGUGGUGUAGCGGUGAAAUGCUUAGAUAUCACGAAGAACUCCGAUUG
Molecule: ribosomal RNA, 693 nt
Filed under: uncultured Bacteroidales bacterium
Lineage: Bacteria; Pseudomonadati; Bacteroidota; Bacteroidia; Bacteroidales
Description: bacterial SSU rRNA
Rfam family: Bacterial small subunit ribosomal RNA
Source: RNAcentral